UGUGGUCGGUGUACAGGUGGUGCAUGGCUGUCGUCAGCGGGGGGGAGUGUGUUGGGUUAAGUCCCGCAACGAGCGCAACAGGGAACCCGUGUUGCCAGCAGGCCCUUGUGGUGCUGGGGACUCACGGGAGACCGCCGGGGUCAACUCGGAGGAAGGUGGGGACGACGUCAAGUCAUCAUGCCCCUUAUGUCUUGGGCUGCACACGUGUGUACAAUGGCCGGUACAAUGAGCUGCGAUACCGCGAGGUGGAGCGAAUCUCAAAAAGCCGGUCUCAGUUCGGAUUGGGGUCUGCAACUCGACCCCAUGAAGUCGGAGUCGCUAGUAAUCGCAGAUCAGCAUUGCUGCGGUGAAUACGUUCCCGGGUCUUGUACACAC
This 375-nucleotide ribosomal RNA is filed under the name Streptomyces vinaceusdrappus. Its description in RNAcentral is "bacterial SSU rRNA". It matches the Rfam family "Bacterial small subunit ribosomal RNA", at positions 1022 to 1390 of the family's 1533-position model. Lineage: Bacteria; Bacillati; Actinomycetota; Actinomycetes; Kitasatosporales; Streptomycetaceae. The record is from RNAcentral.